UAUGUGAUCGUCUCUCGCAUAUCAAUAAGCGGAGGAAAAGAAACUAACAAGGAUUCCCCUAGUAACGGCGAGUGAAGCGGGAAGAGCUCAAAUUUGAAAUCUUAAAGGGUUUCCCUUUACGAAUUGUAGUUUAAAGAGGUGUUUUCUGUUGAGGUUUUGGUAAAAGUUCUUUGGAAUAGGACAUCAUAGAGGGUGAGAAUCCCGUAUUUGACCUUUACUUUCAACUUUGUGACACACUUUCAAAGAGUCGGAUUGUUUGGGAAUGCAGUCCAAAAUGGGUGGUAAAUUUCAUCUAAAGCUAAAUAUUGGCGAGAGACCGAUAGCGAACAAGUACCGUGAGGGAAAGAUGAAAAGAACUUUGAAAAGAGAGUUAAACAGUACGUGAAAUUGUCAAAAGGGAAGCGUUUGACACCAGUGUUGUUUUUCUGAAAAUCAAUUAAAGAACUGUUUAUGCUAAGUUGUUUAGACUUUAUCAGCUAUCUGCUUAGUUUUGAGCUUUUCUUUAAUGCACUUUUCAGUUAACAAGUCAACAUCAAUUUCUUUUGCUGUAAAAAAGCUUGAGGAAGGUGGCUUGAGAUUCGUCUUAAGUGUUUAUAGCCUCUUGCCUAUGCAGUCGGAGAGAUUGAGGUCUGCAGCGUAGAUCCUUCGGGGCUAAAUGCAUUUGUGCUAAGUUAUAGCAUUUUAUAGACAACUUGUUGACUAUGAUUUGUCUUGUAGCUUACUCGCUUAUGUUAUUUUACCUACGCUUAGGAUGUUGAGUCGUAGAGCACGCAG
RNAcentral lists this ribosomal RNA (774 nucleotides) under uncultured Neocallimastigales. RNAcentral describes it as "partial large subunit ribosomal RNA". It matches the Rfam family "Eukaryotic large subunit ribosomal RNA", at positions 24 to 628 of the family's 3401-position model. Lineage: Eukaryota; Fungi; Neocallimastigomycota; Neocallimastigomycetes; Neocallimastigales. The record is from RNAcentral.